UGCAGUCGAGCGAACAGAUAAGGAGCUUGCUCCUUUGACGUUAGCGGCGGACGGGUGAGUAACACGUGGAUAACCUACCUAUAAGACUGGGAUAACUUCGGGAAACCGGAGCUAAUACCGGAUAACAUAUUGAACCGCAUGGUUCAAUAGUGAAAGGCGGCUUUGCUGUCACUUAUAGAUGGAUCCGCGCCGUAUUAGCUAGUUGGUAAGGUAACGGCUUACCAAGGCAACGAUACGUAGCCGACCUGAGAGGGUGAUCGGCCACACUGGAACUGAGACACGGUCCAGACUCCUACGGGAGGCAGCAGUAGGGAAUCUUCCGCAAUGGGCGAAAGCCUGACGGAGCAACGCCGCGUGAGUGAUGAAGGUCUUCGGAUCGUAAAACUCUGUUAUCAGGGAAGAACAAAUGUGUAAGUAACUGUGCACAUCUUGACGGUACCUGAUCAGAAAGCCACGGCUAACUACGUGCCAGCAGCCGCGGUAAUACGUAGGUGGCAAGCGUUAUCCGGAAUUAUUGGGCGUAAAGCGCGCGUAGGCGGUUUUUUAAGUCUGAUGUGAAAGCCCACGGCUCAACCGUGGAGGGUCAUUGGAAACUGGAAAACUUGAGUGCAGAAGAGGAAGUGGAAUUCCAUGUGUAGCGGUGAAAUGCGCAGAGAUAUGGAGGAACACCAGUGGCGAAGGCGACUUUCUGGUCUGUAACUGACGCUGAUGUGCGAAAGCGUGGGGAUCAAACAGGAUUAGAUACCCUGGUAGUCCACGCCGUAAACGAUGAGUGCUAAGUGUUAGGGGUUUCCGCCCCUUAGUGCUGCAGCUAACGCAUUAAGCACUCCGCCUGGGGAGUACGACCGCAAGGUUGAAACUCAAAGGAAUUGACGGGGACCCGCACAAGCGGUGGAGCAUGGUGGUUUAAUUCGAAGCAACGCGAGAACCUUACCAAAUCUUGACAUCCUUUGAC
Molecule: ribosomal RNA, 955 nt
Filed under: Staphylococcus warneri
Lineage: Bacteria; Bacillati; Bacillota; Bacilli; Caryophanales; Staphylococcaceae
Description: bacterial SSU rRNA
Rfam family: Bacterial small subunit ribosomal RNA
Source: RNAcentral